This 354-nucleotide transfer-messenger RNA is filed under the name Verrucomicrobiia. RNAcentral's name for it is "J093 sp024233215 Standard tmRNA". It matches the Rfam family "transfer-messenger RNA". Rfam says of the family: Bacterial tmRNA, also known as 10Sa RNA or SsrA, is named for its dual tRNA and mRNA-like properties. Its role is to liberate the mRNA from a stalled ribosome. To accomplish this part of the tmRNA is used as a reading frame that ends in a translation stop signal. The record is from RNAcentral. Lineage: Bacteria; Pseudomonadati; Verrucomicrobiota. RNAcentral also lists the same sequence under 1 other name.
GGGGGCGUACUGGUUUCGACCUGAUGAAGGCGCCCACGGUGGCAUGCCGAGGAUGGUUCGUUGGCCUCGUUAAUCAUCGGACCAAACAUCAAAUGCUAACGAAGAAUUAGCUCUCGCGGCCUAAAGUGCCGGGACGUUCGCCGCCCGACCCCUGCUGGGGUGGAUGAACGUGACAGCAGGGGUAGGUAAGUCAUGGGGUCUGCGCGUGACGAGCCGAAGCUGAAACAGCGGGCUGGGACCGGUGGAUCGGGUCGGGUCGUCACCAUCGGGCCGAGAAAAAACACCCGACUAAGCAUGUAGUCGCUGUGUGCAAAUUGGUCAGGGACGCGGGUUCAACUCCCGCCGCCUCCACCA